UACGAAGGGGGCUAGCGUUGCUCGGAAUCACUGGGCGUAAAGGGUGCGUAGGCGGGUUUUUAAGUCAGAGGUGAAAUCCUGGAGCUCAACUCCAGAACUGCCUUUGAUACUGAAAGUCUUGAGUAUGGGAGAGGUGAGUGGAACUGCGAGUGUAGAGGUGAAAUUCGUAGAUAUUCGCAAGAACACCAGUGGCGAAGGCGGCUCACUGGCCCAUAACUGACGCUGAGGCACGAAAGCGUGGGUAGCGAACAGG
RNAcentral lists this ribosomal RNA (253 nucleotides) under uncultured bacterium. RNAcentral's name for it is "partial 16S ribosomal RNA". It matches the Rfam family "Bacterial small subunit ribosomal RNA", at positions 524 to 776 of the family's 1533-position model. The record is from RNAcentral.